AUCGCUUCUCGGCCAAAAGGCUUUGAUCAAAGUGUAGUAUCUGUUCUUAUUAGCUUGAUAUCUAAUAGACUCCCUAUCAGGGAGUCGAGAAUAUCGAACAGAUUUUUUGACAAUGACGAAGUGCUGGAGCUUGCUCCGACUUCGCCGCGAGUCGACCUUGCAUUGCAAUACCGCAAGGAACGGCUCACUUUAU
Non-coding RNA from Nasonia vitripennis (jewel wasp), 193 nucleotides. The record is from Rfam. Lineage: Eukaryota; Metazoa; Arthropoda; Insecta; Hymenoptera; Pteromalidae.